Hordeum vulgare subsp. vulgare (domesticated barley) is the source of this 720-nucleotide long non-coding RNA. RefSeq lists it as uncharacterized. NCBI's taxonomy places the organism in Eukaryota, Viridiplantae, Streptophyta, Magnoliopsida, Poales, Poaceae. The record is from RefSeq and is a predicted model, not a curated record. The transcript has 3 exons.
AUCCUCCCAGAUCCAAAUACCUCCAAGCACCGCACACGACUUGGUCCGCGUGACCACACGAGCCGAAGCCCCACCUCGUCGUCGCCUUCCUCCAUGCCCGCGGCGCCCAUGCCCCGCCGGCCAACCGCCUCGCCCCAACCCCGCUGCCGUCCGUGCUCCAGCCAACUCUAACAGACGCCGAUAACUUCCUUCCCGCUGCAGCAACCCCAGGGACAGGUGUGCCUGUUGUCCAGGAGCUCCUCCUGAGCCGAAGCAGGAGAGCCCAAGGACGCGUGCGCCUCUGACACCUCCAACUGCCUGCUGUGCGAGCCUGGCUGGCUCCUCACCGGUGACCACAAGGAAACCACAGAGCCGCCCCCCGGGAUGUGUACAUUCGUGCCGCCCCAUGGAGUUCACCGCCGCCGGAGUUUCGUGUUGCCUCUGCUCUGUUUCCUAUCAACGAGGACGCGCUCCUUUUCGAGAGCCCCCGGCCGGCCUGCCUUCCCAGCUCCACUGACGGCCAAUUCAGGCCAAGGUCAGCCCCCCUAGAAGCCCCCUGCCUCCAGGAACGUGCACGCAUGCUUUUUUCGCGACCUCGCUGGUGCCCUUAUGCUGCUAUAGUUGUCGCUCUGCUCGCCGUCAUCGCCGACAAGUUCCUAGCGACAAAUGUUUCAGGUACAUGUAAAGUGAUAUUAAGACAUCAGCACGAUGAUUGUGCUAUUGAAGUUUCCUUCUUCAUCA